GGACGUGAGGGUGAUCUGGCUGUGACAUCUGUCAUCCCACUGAUCACAGGCUUGAUCAGUGGAUCUGACUGGCUAGGCAAGUGUCCCCUUCCUCCCUUGUGGUUCUUCCCAAUGCUGCACUCUUGGUGCAAUGUGAAAUGGGAAGAAAAGGUCCAAAGGGGAAGGGGAAGUGGG
This 174-nucleotide small nuclear RNA is filed under the name Heterocephalus glaber (naked mole-rat). RNAcentral describes it as "7SK RNA". The stretch from base 1 to 106 matches the Rfam family "7SK RNA", at positions 1 to 108 of the family's 331-position model. From Rfam's summary of the family: 7SK was discovered as an abundant small nuclear RNA in the mid-70s but a possible function has only recently been suggested. Two independent studies have found that 7SK RNA binds the CDK9/cyclin T complex (known as elongation factor P-TEFb). Lineage: Eukaryota; Metazoa; Chordata; Mammalia; Rodentia; Bathyergidae. The record is from Rfam by way of RNAcentral.